This 466-nucleotide ribosomal RNA is filed under the name uncultured bacterium. RNAcentral's name for it is "partial 16S ribosomal RNA". It matches the Rfam family "Bacterial small subunit ribosomal RNA", at positions 28 to 507 of the family's 1533-position model. The record is from RNAcentral.
GAUGAACGCUGGCGGCGUGCUUAACACAUGCAAGUCGAACGAUGAAGCCCAGCUUGCUGGGUGGAUUAGUGGCGAACGGGUGAGUAACACGUGAGUGACCUGCCCUUAACUCUGGGAUAAGCCUGGGAAACUGGGUCUAAUACCGGAUAGGAGCGUCCACCGCAUGGUGGGUGUUGGAAAGAUUUAUCGGUUUUGGAUGGACUCGCGGCCUAUCAGCUUGUUGGUGAGGUAAUGGCUCACCAAGGCGACGACGGGUAGCCGGCCUGAGAGGGUGACCGGCCACACUGGGACUGAGACACGGCCCAGACUCCUACGGGAGGCAGCAGUGGGGAAUAUUGCACAAUGGGCGCAAGCCUGAUGCAGCGACGCCGCGUGAGGGAUGACGGCCUUCGGGUUGUAAACCUCUUUCAGUAGGGAAGAAGCGAAAGUGACGGUACCUGCAGAAGAAGCACCGGCUAACUACGUG